GACGAACGCUGGCGGCGUGCUUAACACAUGCAAGUCGAACGGAAAGGCCCUGCUUUUGUGGGGUGCUCGAGUGGCGAACGGGUGAGUAACACGUGAGUAACCUGCCCUUGACUUUGGGAUAACUUCAGGAAACUGGGGCUAAUACCUGAUAGGACCUCCUGCUGCAUGGUGGGGGUUGGAAAGUUUCGGCGGUUGGGGAUUGACUCGCGGCUUAUCAGCGUGUUGGUGGGGUAGUGGCUUACCAAGGCUUUGACGGGUAGCCGGCCUGAGAGGGUGACCGGCCACAUUGGGACUGAGAUACGGCCCAGACUCCUACGGGAGGCAGCAGUGGGGAAUAUUGCACAAUGGGCGGAAGCCUGAUGCAGCAACGCCGCGUGCGGGAUGACGGCCUUCGGGUUGUAAACCGCUUUCGCCUGUGACGAAGCGUGAGUGACGGUAAUGGGUAAAGAAGCACCGGCUAACUACGUG
This 468-nucleotide ribosomal RNA is filed under the name uncultured bacterium. RNAcentral's name for it is "partial 16S ribosomal RNA". It matches the Rfam family "Bacterial small subunit ribosomal RNA", at positions 28 to 507 of the family's 1533-position model. The record is from RNAcentral.